UCUACUGAGAGGGUUGAAAAUUGAUGAAUACAGUGACUAAAUAUAUACUCUAGGGUGGCCCAGAAGGGUACACAGCCUUAUACUGCAAGCAGAGAGGCUGUUUCUAAGAUUUGAACUCAAGCUCACCCUCUCAUUAAAUAUAUACUCUACAUGGUAAAAUUCAGUUGAGAAUUGAGAUCAAUAAAUGUUAAUACUGAUUCUUUAGGAAAUACAAUUCUUAUUCUAAUAAAAAAAUUCAGAAUCACACACAAAACACAAACUGAGAUAUGGAUCUCCACUUCAUCGCAGAUAUCAAGGUGAUAUGGUUGAAUAUGUGUAUACAAGGAAAAUGAGCAGAAAAUGAAAAUAAAACUGAAAAUCUCGACAUUAGACAGGCCUUGUUCUCUCCUCAAUUCACUUGCUUCUUUGUUAACCUUUCGGUUUUCCCUCCUCCUCUUAUAUCUGAAUCCCUCCCUUGUUAUCCACACUCCCCUACUGCCAAGUGAGCAUCAAGUUGUUACAUGAAGUCACACUUCUCACCUUGCCUAUGAUGAGGGGCACUAAUCCGCACCCAAUUAGCUCCCUUUUGAAACUCACCAAACUCAACAUCCUCCAACCUCCACACACAAUAUGCUAAAAUUGAUAAUGGGAAACCAUGAAUGUGCCCCUCUGAUCUGUUUCUAAAUUCAAUCAGAAAACUUCUAUCAAGUUAAGUCACCCCAAAACAACAUUUGGAAAUUCGUGUUUAACAUUGAUGGUGUGAUUUCUUCAGCCAUGACUCUUACUCUCAACCUCUUAAGUUCAGUACUGUGGGACCAAAUCCCACAACCCAUUGAACAAUUAACAAGGUCAUCCACAAGACACACAGUAGAUACAUUCAAGUAUGAAUGAUGUUCACUAAUUUUCAUUAAACAUCACCAAAGUUUCAUCUGAUAGGCAUUGUUGACUGAUUGAAUCGACAACUUUAAAUCUCAUUUAGUCAUACACCAAUAGCCUCCAACAUCACACUACCCACAAAAAAGAUAUAGGUCCAUUUGUUUAAGCAUUUUAAUAAAAAAAAUUGAUUAUUUUUAAUUAAAAAAUCAUGCCUGGCACACACACAUUUGUUUGAUUUGGGUUUUACCAAAAAGCAAAAUCUAUAUUUUUCAGCUUAUCAAAAAAUCACUUUUUUGCCAAAAUUACUAUUCUAUCAUCUUCAAUAUAACCCAUCGCUUAAGAUUAAGAUCUGACUCAUCUAAAAUGAGGGGAUUCACUUCAGAUACAAAACUUUUAGAGUUAUAAAUCCAUAAUAAACGUUUUAUUCUCAUCAUUUAUGUUAAAUCGCACAAAUACAGGUUUUUUUAAUAAAAUAUGAUACCAAAAUCAGAAUCCAAAGCUACUCAUCAUUUAGAUUAAUUUUUACCAAUCAACCAUCACAAAAUAAAAUGAAAUAAAUCAUGUUUACCAGAUUUUGAGAGAGAGGGCUGGGAAGAGAGGAUUAACUUGGAAGCAGAUCUGAAACCGUUGUUGAAAGCCAUUGAAGUUAUUAGAUUACAAUUUAUAAACGUCGAUGGGGAAAAGGCACUUUUGUACUUAGCAAUGUUUUGAUUAUUUGUUUUGGUUGUAACCCUUUCUAUCUUACCCAGUUCUGUUGUUUUGGCUGGGCCGGGUCGGGUGUUAACAGAUAUAAAUUUAUUCUACAAAAUUUAUAGUAGCAUAUUAUUGAAUUUUAUAUAUUUUAGAGUUUGCAUUGUUUACAUGUAAAGGUAAAACAAUAAAUAAUGAUCGCCAUAACAUAAUUUUUAUAUUUCAAAUUUAUUUUAUUAUAUUAUUAAUAAUUAUUUAAACUUUCAAACAUUAUUUACAUUUUUUAUAUUAAUAUAUCAUUAAUUUUCUACACAUUCUUUUAUUUUUAUCUUCACUCUUCUCAACCCAAGUAAAACAAAAAAUAAUAUAAAAAACAUCUAUAAUGAUUAUUAGAGGCACAAAAUGAGAAAUUUACAUAAGUUUUAUGUAUAUCAUAUCAACUACCACAUAUUAUCUUCUAACCUUUCACUUUCUAUUGGGUUUACAUAUUGCAUUAUAUAUCAGAAGAAAUAAAAAUGUGGAGUGAUCAUCGACACGCUAGUAUCUAUAAAUGUACAAAAGUUUAUAACAUUUAAUAUAUUAUUUAUAUUAUUUUUUUUGAAGAGUCAAUAAUAAUUAAAUAUGAAGUAUGAAUAAUAUAGUGACUAAGUAUAAAAUUCAUACAUUGUUUAAAACAUGUCUAUUUUUCUCAUAUAGUUAUUAAGUAAGAGUUACUCAAUUGUUAAGAGUUAUGAAUACCGUUUAUAUGUUAGUACACCAGCAAACACAUAAAUCAACUAGUAUCAGGUUGUUGUAAAUUUAAAGUGCUAAAGAUGGACUCCUCUAGUGAAUGCUAUUAUCCUUUCCUUUGUGUCCUUUGUUUUGUUUAGUUUUCUUUACUCGUGUAACCAAAAUAAUUAUUAACUCAUCAUUAUAUGUUAGAAAAUAAAUUAUUUCAUUUUAAUCGCUGCUAAUUUGCUUGGAUUUAUAGAAAAUAAAUAAAAUAAAAUCCUUAACACAAUUUUGAAAAAUAAUAAAUUAAGAAUGUGAUUUUUUAAUAAGCAAGAAUUUGAUUAAUAUAUAAAUAAAUUACUUUAUUUGAAUUUUUUGGCAAUGCUUUUGUUUAAAAAAAAAACAAGAAUGGAUUUGGUUUUAUUUUAAUUAUAUUUAUAUAUUUCAAUCUCAUACACAAGUAAAUAUAUAUAUUCACCAACGGGCGUUGGUUCAAGUGGUACAUGCUUGAUUCCCUUAAGCAAGAACCCGGGUUCGAGUCUUGUGGAUGGAAAAAANNNNNNNNNNNNNNNNNNNNNNNNNNNNNNNNNNNNNNNNNNNNNNNNNNNNNNNNNNNNNNNNNNNNNNNNNNNNNNNNNNNNNNNNNNNNNNNNNNNNGGAGAGUUAGCCCCACUUACCUGUGGAUGUGCCCGUCUCGGACAGGAUUGCCUCCAGUGCGAGGAUACAUGUGGGAAACAAAAAAAAAGUAAAUAUAUAUUCAAAUUUGGUUUUAUUUAUUAAAUUUAAUUUUUUAUAAUGAUUUUAAACAUUCCAAAUUUAGUUAUUAAUGUGAAAACUUUGUACAAUUUACAUGUAUCUUUACAAGCAUCUUUUUUAGUCGUGAUGCUUGCUCAAAAAGUUAUAACUCUAGGAUUCAACUCUCUUAAAUUUUAAUUUAUUAAAGAAUAACUAUGAUUAACUAUUUCUUAUUGAGUUAAGAAUUGAAGGCUUCUCUGGUUAUUCAAUUAUUUUACUCUUAUAAUAAUUGUUUUAAAAAUCACACCCUCUUUUUUUCUUCUAAAGUUUUCUCUCAGUGGAGAAAUUAAUAUAAUAUCUGGUUGCCAAAAGUAGUAUUAUAAAACUUGACUUAGACUAGCUGAUCUGACCGGUUCAACUAUGAACUGGAUAUCUAAUCAGUGCGAGCCUCUUAUCUAACCAGUUUUAUAUUAAAAUUUGACUGAUUCAGUUCAAUAUGAUUGAUUUAAGCCUAAAAUCGGUGAACACAUCCUUAUAAAAAUAAAUAUAUGAACACAUCCUUAUAUUUAAAACUAAAAAAAAUCAUACAAUCCAAUGAAGUACAUGAGUUAAAUAUGUCCAUCUAAAGAUAACAUGAGUUAAAAUACAUAAGGAAGGACCAAGAUUGGAACAUGGUGAUUCCCACUUCUGUUUUCUCUUUCUCUAGCUAUCAAGAAUCUUUAGGAUUCAAUCUUCCCAAACUCAAUCUCAUAUUCCUCAAAUGUGCUCAUGAAUCCACGAAGAAAGUCAGCCCGAUACAACUUCCACAUAAAAUAUCCUUUUUAUCUCUGUAACAAACAUACAUAAUGGAUAAGGAUUAGAUUGAAGCUAAACCAAGAGCCUGCCAAUUAUAAUCACUAACACCUCUUUGUGAUGAAUUUUGUGAAGAUUGAGACUCAAAUUCAAUCUACACAUUAUGCUAUAAUCAAGGAAUGCAACAAAAUCAUACAACUAAUAAAAGCGAAGUAAUAAUAACAAGUCAUGUAGAACAAUGCACACUAACAAAUAUUUCAUGACAUGGACCCCUAAUACCUAAUCAUCGACUUCAAGUUAUGCAGGAGGCAUGUAGCAAUACAGAAGAAUACACAUAAAUAUCGGAUACCACUAUCUCCGAUGAGGAGAACUCAAUAUAGGUAUUCCAAGUAAUCAAGCAUAUAAACUAGAUUAUUUCAAGUAAUCAAACAUAUAAAUUAGAUUAUUAAACAUCAUAUUUGGACUAAAAGUGGCCAACUAAAAUACAAAGUGGCACCUUUCACUCAAUAAGUGAUCCCGUUCCUUGCGGUCCAAUGCCUUAAACUAUCGAUCAUUUCCCCAUUUCUCAUAGAAAGUUUGAUAAUCAAUGUUGUGAUUAAUAUCCUGAAAAUCAAAUGAUCUAUAAGCAUUCAAUAGUUCCACAAAUUGAAUGUCCGUAUAUUUUGUGAAGAAAAUCUUGCUCCUGACCUUGACACGGUUUUGAUGAAGACAUCAACAUUAUAUAAAUGNGAGGAUGAGGAAGAAGAUGAGGAUAGAAUGAGAAUCAGGAGGAGGAUGAGGAUGAAGAAGAGGAUGAGAAGAGGAUGAGGACGAGAAUGAGGAUGAGGAUAGGAUNNNNNNNNNNNNNNNNNNNNNNNNNNNNNNNNNNNNNNNNNNNNNNNNNNNNNNNNNNNNNNNNNNNNNNNNNNNNNNNNNNNNNNNNNNNNNNNNNNNNAGGAAGAGGAUGAGGAUAGGGAGGAGGAAAGGAUGAGGACGAAAAUGACAAUGAGGAUGAGGAUGAGGAUAGGAUGAGGAUGAGGGUGAGGAUGAGGAUGAGGACGAGAAUGAGGAUAGGAUGAUGAUGAUGAUGAGGAUAGGAUAUGGACGAGAAUAAGGAUGAGGAUGAGGAUAUAAUGGGGAUGACGAUAGGAUGAGGACGAGAAUGAGGAUGAGGACGAGGAUAGGACGAGGAAGAGAAUGAGGAUGAGCAUGAGGAUUUGGAUAUCAAGGUGAUAUGGUUGAAUAUGUGUAUACAAGGAAAAUGAGCAGAAAAUGAAAAUAAAACUGAAAAUCUCGACAUUAGACAGGCCUUGUUCUCUCCUCAAUUCACUUGCUUCUUUGUUAACCUUUCGGUUUUCCCUCCUCCUCUUAUAUCUGAAUCCCUCCCUUGUUAUCCACACUCCCCUACUGCCAAGUGAGCAUCAAGUUGUUACAUGAAGUCACACUUCUCACCUUGCCUAUGAUGAGGGGCACUAAUCCGCACCCAAUUAGCUCCCUUUUGAAACUCACCAAACUCAACAUCCUCCAACCUCCACACACAAUAUGCUAAAAUUGAUAAUGGGAAACCAUGAAUGUGCCCCUCUGAUCUGUUUCUAAAUUCAAUCAGAAAACUUCUAUCAAGUUAAGUCACCCCAAAACAACAUUUGGAAAUUCGUGUUUAACAUUGAUGGUGUGAUUUCUUCAGCCAUGACUCUUACUCUCAACCUCUUAAGUUCAGUACUGUGGGACCAAAUCCCACAACCCAUUGAACAAUUAACAAGGUCAUCCACAAGACACACAGUAGAUACAUUCAAGUAUGAAUGAUGUUCACUAAUUUUCAUUAAACAUCACCAAAGUUUCAUCUGAUAGGCAUUGUUGACUGAUUGAAUCGACAACUUUAAAUCUCAUUUAGUCAUACACCAAUAGCCUCCAACAUCACACUACCCACAAAAAAGAUAUAGGUCCAUUUGUUUAAGCAUUUUAAUAAAAAAAAUUGAUUAUUUUUAAUUAAAAAAUCAUGCCUGGCACACACACAUUUGUUUGAUUUGGGUUUUACCAAAAAGCAAAAUCUAUAUUUUUCAGCUUAUCAAAAAAUCACUUUUUUGCCAAAAUUACUAUUCUAUCAUCUUCAAUAUAACCCAUCGCUUAAGAUUAAGAUCUGACUCAUCUAAAAUGAGGGGAUUCACUUCAGAUACAAAACUUUUAGAGUUAUAAAUCCAUAAUAAACGUUUUAUUCUCAUCAUUUAUGUUAAAUCGCACAAAUACAGGUUUUUUUAAUAAAAUAUGAUACCAAAAUCAGAAUCCAAAGCUACUCAUCAUUUAGAUUAAUUUUUACCAAUCAACCAUCACAAAAUAAAAUGAAAUAAAUCAUGUUUACCAGAUUUUGAGAGAGAGGGCUGGGAAGAGAGGAUUAACUUGGAAGCAGAUCUGAAACCGUUGUUGAAAGCCAUUGAAGUUAUUAGAUUACAAUUUAUAAACGUCGAUGGGGAAAAGGCACUUUUGUACUUAGCAAUGUUUUGAUUAUUUGUUUUGGUUGUAACCCUUUCUAUCUUACCCAGUUCUGUUGUUUUGGCUGGGCCGGG
Molecule: long non-coding RNA, 6323 nt
Filed under: Lupinus angustifolius (narrow-leaved blue lupine)
Lineage: Eukaryota; Viridiplantae; Streptophyta; Magnoliopsida; Fabales; Fabaceae
Description: long non-coding RNA (LANG_LNC001875)
Source: RNAcentral